UUUAAAAGGCGCGGUUGACUGUUGAGUACGCGGCAGCAAUGAGGAUUAUUCUAAUCCUAACGUAUUCUAUGAUCUUGGCCUAUACACCCCAGACUGUAUGCAUACCAUGUACGCCAUGUAAGGAAUUCACUAACAUGCAUUUCGCCAACUGCCUCGCGGCGGCCCCCUCAAUGUGCGUGUUUGUCAGGGGGCAGGCCAAAACCUUUCUAGUUGCAAAUUGUGAAGUCAAGGUUUUCCACCCACAUGUCGAUAAGCCAAUAUUAAAAACACCAUUCAUAGCCAACUGUGGUAAGUUUUUAUUUUCAUAGCAAUUCUUAAGAAUUAUAAUUAUUUUGUUUUUUGUUCAUAACCUCAUCCCCCCUGAUGACUGAUUUAACUUAGUUUUCGAAGCAUUAAUUUAUGGUAUGUCACAAAAAACACACUUUAACCUUUUCGGAUUAUUGAAGGAAUUUGGUAAACUCCUGUGCCUAACUAAAAAAACAUUUUCAAAUAUUUCCAAAAUAGAAAUAUGUAACAAGCUAUUCAUUAUGUUGUAGACAAGACUACGGUUACCAUACCAACCAAGACCACAGAUGCAGCGGAAACUUCAACAUCAACUACCAAGAAGUUUCUCAUUACUGACAAGACUACGGUUACCGUACCAACCAAGACCACAGAUGCAACGGAAACUUCAACAUCAACUACCCAGAAGUUUCCCAUUAAUGAUGCAGUUUUGUCUACGAAAGUUCCCGGGGGAUUGAGUAAAUUAUUAUCAACCAAAGAUGAUAUCAUUAUGCAUAGUAUCUCACCAACUUUAAUAAUAAUCUUUGCCAUCAUCAUCAUUGCUUACAAGAAAUGUGUAAAUAGACGUUCUAGACAUGAAGUCAAAAGCCAGUCCACAAGCCCCAUAAUCCCUUCUGUAACAGAUUCACCCUCUUCAACUAUUGAAGUCGAAGAUGCAGGAGUGCAGGUGACCCCCACCCAUCAAAAUGAAGUGGAAGAUGUGAGAGUGGAGGUCACACCAUCACGUCCUAUUUGUCCAAAAGGGAGGACACAGCCAAAGAGAAUUGCCAAAGAAAAAAAUGCAAAAAAGAAAUUUGCCAUUUAAAUAAUUAGCAUUUUAUUAUUGCUUUUUAGCAUUGUUGAUUAGACUGAAGUAAUUUGAUUAUGGAUUUAAAAAAAAAUUUCAGGGUAGAAAUUUAGUACCUACUAUUGUACUUGAAAGUCAUACUUUAUCUAAAGAGACAAUCAUU
Molecule: long non-coding RNA, 1232 nt
Organism: Saccostrea cuccullata (small rock oyster)
Lineage: Eukaryota; Metazoa; Mollusca; Bivalvia; Ostreida; Ostreidae
Exons: 4
Source: RefSeq, a predicted model, not a curated record